AGAGGGUGCCGAGGGUGGAUCCCAAUCUCUUGAGGCUGUUCGCCCUUCUGACGAUGGUCGCCACUGUCCGACAGUACAAAGCCUUGGCGAGGGAGUCUCUGGUCAUGUUGGACUGCGAGAAAUGACAGAUUUCACCAGCUGUCCUCUGGCGUUGUGCGUUCUGGAAGUCAAACCCCUCAGCAAAGCUGGCGGCGGAACUCCCAGCAAAGCCGCCACUGCGCCUAGCUCGCUCUCUCCGACCACGCUGACCUCGACACCAGGUCCGUCCGUGAACCCGACGUUACCAAGUAUCAAGACUGCGGCCAGGACCCUGACCACGUCCAGAAAUGGUAUUCCAAGGACUCCUGAAGAUUUUGAUCAAAGUGUCGUUAAGAUGACGACAGUGAAUCGUGGAGAUUCAUUUUUCAUACCAUACCUCUCUCUUCGUGGGUUAGUCCAGCGAGCAUCUGGUAGAAUAUGUGAUAGUUCUUCUCGUCCGGUAGCGGCCUUAUCACCCUGGUUUGAUCUAGGAAGUAGCAGUGGAUUUUCGUCCGGUACAAGGCGCCGUCCGUCACUUGAACUUCGAUGAAGUGGCCCUUGAAAAUUGCACACAAAAUAUACCGGCGAACUUGUAGUUGCACUGUUAAUUCUGUAUUUUUUUGCCAUCAAAUUUCACACUCUUACUCACUAUUCUUGAGCUCUCGGAAUUCGUUGCCGUCUUUGCUGAUCCGAGUGACCUCAGGACUGUAAAGGCUGCUGCCAAGUGCUUGAACGCAUCUGUUUCCGGCCCGCCACCAGCUACGUCAAAAAGCUGUCUCAGGAGGAGCAUCGAUGCGUAGGUUUUGCCCGAGCCACUCGUUCCUGCAAUCACGAAUUACCAGCCACCCGAUCGUUGCAUGGUCAUCACACGGUGCAAACGCUGUUUGUUUUUGCUCCUCUUUUAACGACUCUGACAGAAUUAUUGCCUGCGGAUAACCCGUCUCUGAUUGCUGCCUAACAGCCUCUUGAACAACCCUGUUGAGCUGCGGUGCCAGAGGUAUAGUUCUGGUGCUCGUCAACGUCAACGGAUUUCCGACGUCAUGGUAUGGGUUAAUCGACACGAGGAUGGGGCCCACAUUUGUCUGAAAUUUUUCGACAAUUUUGGGAUCAUUUUCAACGAAGAGGAAGGAAACUCUACAAGCUCGAAUCGCAUCGUUGAAUCGUUUGUUCCGUUAGGACUUUUGGAACGUUGAGCGAUACUUGGGAGCAUCCGGAGUUCGAGAGCAGGAAGCGAGGCUGGAGUGACGGAAAAAGUGACGGCACGCGAGCGAGAGAUAUAAAUAUUCACCGUUCCAUUCUCACCCAGCUAUAGCUCCGAGUUUUCGUUGCAGUGGUCCUUUUGCAGGAUUGCACGGGGUGAGCUCGGUGCUUCGGACGGGAUUUACAUUUGUUCCGGGAGACUCGUGCAGAGUGUCCUGAUACGUCCUAGACGAAGUGGCAAGUAACACUCCUCUAUCCGCAGUCCGGACGAGGAAGAAAACGCGUAAACACGAACAACCGCAAAAAAGCUUAAUUAAAAUACCAAGAAUGAAGGAAUCGUGUUGCAGCCGUUAAUAAUUCCGCUACUGAGAUUUCUCACUUGCAGCUGAUGGAAUUGUGUAUCCGCUGGUUUCAAUUUAAAUUCACCCUCGACAAAUAUCCCAGGCAAACUUUAUUUCAAUCGAAUUGUCAAUUCUGUUGCUGUUUUUGUGACGUAUAAGUUCGUAAUCAAAUGUUUUUUUUUCCUUUUUUUUUUUUGUUUUUGUUUUUUUUUUGAGCUUGUAAAGAUAAUUGCGAACGAUCGUUAAACACGAAGAUGACACAACAGAUAGAAUAAAUCAUCGAUCCAACGGUUGCAUAAAUCAAAAAAUAGUAAUUCAUCUGUUCUCAGUUUUGGUUUCAUCAUUAUGUUACAUAUUACAUAUA
This 1923-nucleotide long non-coding RNA is filed under the name Neodiprion lecontei (redheaded pine sawfly). Its description in RNAcentral is "uncharacterized LOC124294118, transcript variant X1". The record is from RNAcentral. Lineage: Eukaryota; Metazoa; Arthropoda; Insecta; Hymenoptera; Diprionidae.